GUUUGAUCCUGGCUCAGGAUGAACGCUAGCAGCGUGCCUGAGAUAUGCAAGUCGAGCGAUCAUAGGUCCGCAAGGAUCUAUGAAGCGGCGGACGGCUGAGUAACACGUAGGAACUUGCCCCCAAGUAGAGGAUAGCUCACCGAGAGGUGGGGUAAUACUUUAUAGUCUGUACCUAGUACAGUAAAGGACGUAACUGUUCGCUUAGGGAUGGUCCUGCGGCCUAUCAGGUAGUUGGUGAGGUAAUGGCUCACCAAGCCUAUGACGGGUAGCUGGCCUCAUGAGGGUGGUCAGCCAGAGGGGGACUGAGACACGGCCCCCACUCCUACGGGAGGCAGCAAUCAGGAAUAGUCGGCAAUGGACGAAAGUCUGACCGCGCGACGCUGCGUGUAGGAUGAAGCUUCAAAAGAGUGUAAACUACUGUGGUAGGGGAAGAAUGUUCCGCAAGGAACUUGACGGUACCCUACUAGAAAGUGGCCGCUAACUGCGUGCCAGAAGCGUCGGUAAUACGUGGGCCACAAGCGUUAUCCGGUGUCACUGGGCGUAAAGAGUCGUGUAGGUGGUGAAUUAAGUUAUUUCUUAAAUUUUCUCGCUCAACGAGGAGUCUGGAUAUAAUACUAGUUUGCUAGAAUUUCCUUUAGGGUAAUUGGAACUGAGAGAGGAGUAGUGAAAUGCGUUGAUACUCUCGGGAACACCAGUGGCGUAGGCGAAUUACUGGAAGGAAAUUGACACUGAGACACGAAAGCUAGGGGAGCGAAGCAGAUUAGAGACCUGCGUAGUCCUAGCCGUAAACGCAUGCUUGCUAGCUGCAUGUUUCGAUUUAUCGAAACGUGUGGCGAAGGUAACCCGUUAAGCAAGCCGCCUGGGGAGUACUGCCGCAAGGUUAAAAUCAAAGGAAUUGACG
Molecule: ribosomal RNA, 901 nt
Filed under: uncultured bacterium
Lineage: Bacteria
Description: bacterial SSU rRNA
Rfam family: Bacterial small subunit ribosomal RNA
Source: RNAcentral